This 74-nucleotide transfer RNA is filed under the name Phycisphaera sp. Its description in RNAcentral is "tRNA-Arg". It matches the Rfam family "tRNA". From Rfam's summary of the family: Transfer RNA (tRNA) molecules are approximately 80 nucleotides in length. Their secondary structure includes four short double-helical elements and three loops (D, anti-codon, and T loops). Lineage: Bacteria; Pseudomonadati; Planctomycetota; Phycisphaerae; Phycisphaerales; Phycisphaeraceae. RNAcentral also lists the same sequence under 1 other name. The record is from RNAcentral.
GGGCUCGUAGCUCAACUGGAUAGAGCGUCGGCCUCCGAAGCCGAAGGUUCCGCGUUCGAAUCGCGGCGAGCCCG